UACGGGAGGCAGCAGUAGGGAAUCUUCCGCAAUGGACGAAAGUCUGACGGAGCAACGCCGCGUGAGUGAUGAAGGUUUUCGGAUCGUAAACUCUGUUGUUAGGGAAGAACAAGUACCGUUCGAAUAGGGCGGUACCUUGACGGUACCUAACCAGAAAGCCACGGCUAACUACGUGCCAGCAGCCGCGGUAAUACGUAGGUGGCAAGCGUUGUCCGGAAUUAUUGGGCGUAAAGGCCGCAGGCGGUUUCUUAAGUCUGAUGUGAAAGCCCCCGGCUCAACCGGGGAGGGUCAUUGGAAACUGGGGAACUUGAGUGCAGAAGAGGAGAGUGGAAUUCCACGUGUAGCGGUGAAAUGCGUAGAGAUGUGGAGGAACACCAGUGGCGAGGCGACUCUCUGGUCUGUACUGACGCUGAGGGCGAAAGCGUGGGGAGCGAACAGGAUUAGAUACCCUGGUAGUCCACGCCGUAAACGAUGAGUGCUAAGUGUUAGGGGUUUCCGCCCUUAGUGCUGCAGCAACGCAUUAAGCACUCCGCCUGGGGAUCGGUCGCAAGACUGAAACUCAAAGGAAUUGACGGGGGCCCGCACAAGCGGUGGAGCAUGUGGUUUAAUUCGAAGCAACGCGAAGAACCUUACCAGGUCUUGACAUCCUCUGACAACCUAGAGAUAGGCUCCCCUUCGGGGGCAGAGUGACAGGUGGUGCAUGGUUGUCGUCAGCUCGUGUCGUGAGAUGUUGGGUUAAGUCCCGCAACGAGCGCAACCCUUGAUCUUAGUUGCCAGCAUUCAGUUGGGCACUCUAAGGUGACUGCCGGUGACAAACCGGA
Molecule: ribosomal RNA, 821 nt
Filed under: Bacillus licheniformis
Lineage: Bacteria; Bacillati; Bacillota; Bacilli; Caryophanales; Bacillaceae
Description: bacterial SSU rRNA
Rfam family: Bacterial small subunit ribosomal RNA
Source: RNAcentral